Molecule: ribosomal RNA, 521 nt
Filed under: uncultured Hanseniaspora
Lineage: Eukaryota; Fungi; Ascomycota; Saccharomycetes; Saccharomycodales; Saccharomycodaceae
Description: eukaryotic LSU rRNA
Rfam family: Eukaryotic large subunit ribosomal RNA
Source: RNAcentral
AAACCAACUGGGAUUACCUUAGUAACGGCGAGUGAAGCGGUAAAAGCUCAAAUUUGAAAUCUGGUACUUUCAGUGCCCGAGUUGUAAUUUGUAGAAUUUGUCUUUGAUUAGGUCCUUGUCUAUGUUCCUUGGAACAGGACGUCAUAGAGGGUGAGAAUCCCGUUUGGCGAGGAUACCUUUUCUCUGUAAGACUUUUUCGAAGAGUCGAGUUGUUUGGGAAUGCAGCUCAAAGUGGGUGGUAAAUUCCAUCUAAAGCUAAAUAUUGGCGAGAGACCGAUAGCGAACAAGUACAGUGAUGGAAAGAUGAAAAGAACUUUGAAAAGAGAGUGAAAAAGUACGUGAAAUUGUUGAAAGGGAAGGGCAUUUGAUCAGACAUGGUGUUUUUUAAAUGUGCAAGUCUCUCGUGGACAUGUGCCUCUGGGAAAUUAACACUGGGCCAACAUCAGUUCUGGCGGCAGGAUAAAUCAUUAAGAAUGUAGCUACCUCGGUAGUGUUAUAGCUUUUUGGAAUACUGCCAGCUU